Molecule: ribosomal RNA, 253 nt
Filed under: uncultured bacterium
Lineage: Bacteria
Description: partial 16S ribosomal RNA
Rfam family: Bacterial small subunit ribosomal RNA
Source: RNAcentral
UACGUAGGGGGCAAGCGUUGUCCGGAAUUAUUGGGCGUAAAGAGCGUGUAGGCGGUCCGGUAAGUCAGCUGUGAAAGUCAAGGGCUCAACCCUUGAAUGCCGGUUGAUACUGUCGGGCUAGAGUCCGGAAGAGGCGAGUGGAAUUCCUGGUGUAGCGGUGAAAUGCGCAGAUAUCAGGAGGAACACCAAUGGCGAAGGCAGCUCGCUGGGACGUGACUGACGCUGAGACGCGAAAGCGUGGGGAGCAAACAGG